GAUGAAGAACGCAGUGAAAUGCGAUACUUGGUGUGAAUUGCAGAAUCCCGUGAACCAUCGAGUCUUUGAACGCAAGUUGCGCCCGAAGCCAUCAGGUUGAGGGCACGUCUGCCUGGGCGUCACAUAUCGUUGCCCAAUGCCUAUUGCAGUGCAAUAGGAAUUUCUAGGGCGAAUGAUGGCUUCCCGUGAGCGUUGUUGCCUCGCGGUUGGUUGAAAAUCGAGUCCUUGGUAGGGUGUGCCAUGGUAGAUGGUGGUCGAGUUAGAACGAUACCGAUCAUGUGCAUGCUCCCCAAAAUAUGGCCUCUAUGACCCACACGCGUCUUUUGACGCUCAUGACGAGACCUCAGGUCAGGCGGGGCUACCCGCUGAAUUUAAGCAUAUCAAUAGCGGAGGA
Molecule: unclassified non-coding RNA, 394 nt
Filed under: soil metagenome
Description: partial contains 5.8S ribosomal RNA, internal transcribed spacer 2, and large subunit ribosomal RNA
Rfam family: 5.8S ribosomal RNA (bases 1-122)
Source: RNAcentral